Molecule: ribosomal RNA, 291 nt
Filed under: Priestia megaterium
Lineage: Bacteria; Bacillati; Bacillota; Bacilli; Caryophanales; Bacillaceae
Description: Bacillus megaterium partial 16S ribosomal RNA
Rfam family: Bacterial small subunit ribosomal RNA
Source: RNAcentral
AGUCCCGCAACGAGCGCAACCCUUGAUCUUAGUUGCCAGCAUUUAGUUGGGCACUCUAAGGUGACUGCCGGUGACAAACCGGAGGAAGGUGGGGAUGACGUCAAAUCAUCAUGCCCCUUAUGACCUGGGCUACACACGUGCUACAAUGGAUGGUACAAAGGGCUGCAAGACCGCGAGGUCAAGCCAAUCCCAUAAAACCAUUCUCAGUUCGGAUUGUAGGCUGCAACUCGCCUACAUGAAGCUGGAAUCGCUAGUAAUCGCGGAUCAGCAUGCCGCGGUGAAUACGUUCCC